Arachis ipaensis is the source of this 521-nucleotide non-coding RNA. The record is from RefSeq and is a predicted model, not a curated record. Lineage: Eukaryota; Viridiplantae; Streptophyta; Magnoliopsida; Fabales; Fabaceae.
UGGGCCCCGGAAGCGCUAGAGAAAAAGAUCUCUCAAACCAAUGCAAAGAUUGAGAAAAUGGAACGUGAUAUGAAGACAAAAGAAGAUCUGAAAACUGUGGCAUUGGGCACGUCCAAGAUAAACUAUCUUGACCCUAGGAUUACAGUUGCCUGGUGCAAAUAGAAUGAGGUUCCCAUUGAAAAGGUUAUUGUAGGAGAGAUCAAGCACUCUCAAGCUGCUCAUGUCACCAACUUGUGGAGGGACUUUUCCAGUGAGUUGAUUGUGGGAAAGAUCAAGUGCUUCUAAUUUCAACAGAUUCCCAAGAAAAGUUGGGAUUUCACUUGAGAGAUUGUUGUAUCUGAGGUCUAAAUUGAUCUGGAGAUUUUGGAGUUUUUCAAUUUCUGUUUUAGUAUGGAAAAUAACACAGCUUUUAGUAUAGUUGAUAGUUUUAAUAUGGUUGAAUAAUACAUUGAGGAUUAUAGUUGAUGUAUCAAUACAUUUUGUUUGUAUUUUGAAUUAUAUUGACUUGUUUGUUUAUUAUA